UCUUCAUUCCUCGCACUCUCUCGCCUCUUUGACCGGCGAGAGAGUGUGGAGAAUGAAGAGA
This 61-nucleotide microRNA precursor is filed under the name Pristionchus pacificus. RNAcentral's name for it is "mir-8364 microRNA precursor family". It matches the Rfam family "mir-8364 microRNA precursor family". Lineage: Eukaryota; Metazoa; Nematoda; Chromadorea; Rhabditida; Neodiplogasteridae. The record is from Rfam by way of RNAcentral.